RNAcentral lists this ribosomal RNA (1053 nucleotides) under Salmonella enterica. Its description in RNAcentral is "partial 23S ribosomal RNA". It matches the Rfam family "Bacterial large subunit ribosomal RNA", at positions 1 to 1547 of the family's 2925-position model. Lineage: Bacteria; Pseudomonadati; Pseudomonadota; Gammaproteobacteria; Enterobacterales; Enterobacteriaceae. The record is from RNAcentral.
GCCAGUGGUGAACUCCACAUACGCAUCCUUUGCUGAGGAUACGGUUAACGGAGCGAAAGCGACGUUCAACCGCAAAAGAAGCAGAGGGGGCUUAGUGGUGGGGUGACUGCGUACCUUUUGUAUAAUGGGUCAGCGACUUAUAUUCUGUAGCAAGGUUAACCGUAUAGGGGAGCCGGAGGGAAACCGAGUCUUAAUUGGGCGUUAAGUUGCAGGGUAUAGACCCGAAACCCGGUGAUCUAGCCAUGGGCAGGUUGAAGGUUGGGUAACACUAACUGGAGGACCGAACCGACUAAUGUUGAAAAAUUAGCGGAUGACCUGUGGCUGGGGGUGAAAGGCCAAUCAAACCGGGAGAUAGCUGGUUCUCCCCGAAAGCUAUUUAGGUAGCGCCUCGUGAAUUCAUCUCCGGGGGUAGAGCACUGUUUCGGCUAGGGGGCCAUCCCGGCUUACCAACCCGAUGCAAACUGCGAAUACCGGAGAAUGUUAUCACGGGAGACACACGGCGGGUGCUAACGUCCGUCGUGAAGAGGGAAACAACCCAGACCGCCAGCUAAGGUCCCAAAGUCAUGGUUAAGUGGGAAACGAUGUGGGAAGGCCCAGACAGCCAGGAUGUUGGCUUAGAAGCAGCCAUCAUUUAAAGAAAGCGUAAUAGCUCACUGGUCGAGUCGGCCUGCGCGGAAGAUGUAACGGGGCUAAACCAUGCACCGAAGCUGCGGCAGCGACGCUGAUGCGUUGUUGGGUAGGGGAGCGUUCUGUAAGCCUGCGAAGGUGGCCUGUGAGGGUUGCUGGAGGUAUCAGAAGUGCGAAUGCUGACAUAAGUAACGAUAAAGCGGGUGAAAAGCCCGCUCGCCGGAAGACCAAGGGUUCCUGUCCAACGUUAAUCGGGGCAGGGUGAGUCGACCCCUAAGGCGAGGCCGAAAGGCGUAGUCGAUGGGAAACGGGUUAAUAUUCCCGUACUUGGUGUUACUGCGAAGGGGGGACGGAGAAGGCUAUGUUGGCCGGGCGACGGUUGUCCCGGUUUAAGCGUGUAGGUGUGUGUUCCAGGUAAAUCCGGUU